RNAcentral lists this ribosomal RNA (113 nucleotides) under Aeromonas dhakensis. RNAcentral's name for it is "partial 23S ribosomal RNA". It matches the Rfam family "Bacterial large subunit ribosomal RNA", at positions 1 to 111 of the family's 2925-position model. The record is from RNAcentral. Lineage: Bacteria; Pseudomonadati; Pseudomonadota; Gammaproteobacteria; Aeromonadales; Aeromonadaceae.
GGUUAAGUGACUAAGCGUACAUGGUGGAUGCCUUGGCAGUCAGAGGCGAUGAAGGACGUACUAACCUGCGAUAAGCCGUGAGCAGUCGGUAAGAGACAUUACGACUCACGGAU